GAGGGUAUAGCUCAAAUGGUAGAGUGCAUGCUUAGCAUGCAUGAGGUUCUGGGUCCAAUCCUCAGUACCUCCA
Camelus ferus (Wild Bactrian camel) is the source of this 73-nucleotide transfer RNA. It matches the Rfam family "tRNA". From Rfam's summary of the family: Transfer RNA (tRNA) molecules are approximately 80 nucleotides in length. Their secondary structure includes four short double-helical elements and three loops (D, anti-codon, and T loops). The record is from Rfam. NCBI's taxonomy places the organism in Eukaryota, Metazoa, Chordata, Mammalia, Artiodactyla, Camelidae.